Pelobates cultripes (western spadefoot toad) is the source of this 204-nucleotide non-coding RNA. The record is from the annotation of a GenBank genome assembly. NCBI's taxonomy places the organism in Eukaryota, Metazoa, Chordata, Amphibia, Anura, Pelobatidae.
GUUUGACAUGCACUCUACCACAGAGGAUAAUCAGACACCACUUGAGUUAUUUAAGAACUGGAAUACCUUGAAUUUGGGAUAAACAUAAUGCCUGGGGAGGAAAAUAUAGGAGUCCUUGAACAGUUGACCCUGCUACUCCACCUACCACCAUGGCUAGUUCCCCAUCUUUCAUGAGAAAAAUGGAUAAGGUAGAAGGAUGUGCAG